This 898-nucleotide non-coding RNA is filed under the name Scyllarides latus (Mediterranean slipper lobster). Lineage: Eukaryota; Metazoa; Arthropoda; Malacostraca; Decapoda; Scyllaridae. The record is from RNAcentral.
AGAUGGAUUUAGGUUUGAAAGAUAAUUAAAAUUUCUAAUUUGUUUAAUAAGUUUGACUCUUGCUUUAUUUUUUGUUAUUAGGUUUAUAGAAUAUAUGCAAAAUUUGGUAUGAAUAGAAAGCUCAUCAUAAUAAUUUAAUAUUUUUGAGUCUAGAAAGGAGAAAAUAGUUUAUAAAAAUUUAAGUGGCAGUAUUAGAUUUUUGAUGGUUUAGUGAAAGCUAGAGUAAGUAAAAUAAUAAGGUCUGGUUAAACUCUGUGCCAGCAGCCGCGGUUAUACUAAGGGGUCAAAUAAAAAUGUAUUAGCUAGAUAGUUAGUCGGAAUUUGUAUUUAUGGUACUUUACUAUAUCGAAAGGUGAAAUUUAUUAGAUAAUUAUAACGUAAACAAAUAUAGGUGCUUAUUAAUGAUGAAACUAUUAAAUUAUAGGGAUAAACCAGGAUUAGAUACCCUGUUAUACUAUAAUUAAAAAGAGUUUAUUUAAGGCUAGAGUAGUAAGAAUUAAUUGGUUUAAAAUUCAAAGAGUUUGGCGGUAUUUUAGUCCUGUUAGAGGAACCUGUUUUAUAAACGAUAAUCCUCGUAAAAUCUUUCUUGCUCUCGUUAAGUUAGUAUACCUUCAUUAUUAGAUGAUUUCUUUUUGAUAUAAAUUAUUGUAAUUGAUUAAAAUCAAAGAUAUUAGAUCGCGGUGCUGCUAAUGAGCAAGUAUAAAUGGGUUACAAUAAUAUUGAAAUUAGACGGAUUUAUUAGUGAAAACAAUAAUAAAGGUGGAUUUAAUUGUAAUGUAGGUUUAACAAGCCCUUAUGAGAUAGGCUCUAAAAUGUGUACAUAUUGCCCGUCGCUUUCAUUACUUUAGAUGAGAUAAGUCGUAACAUAGUAGGUGUACUGGAAAGUGCUCCUAGAAGA